This 468-nucleotide ribosomal RNA is filed under the name uncultured bacterium. RNAcentral describes it as "partial 16S ribosomal RNA". It matches the Rfam family "Bacterial small subunit ribosomal RNA", at positions 28 to 507 of the family's 1533-position model. The record is from RNAcentral.
GACGAACGCUGGCGGCGUGCUUAACACAUGCGAGUCGAACGAAAAGGCCCUGCUUUUGUUGGUUUCUCGAUUGGCGAACGGGUGAGUAACACGCGAGUAUCCUGCCCUUGACUGUGUGAGAACUUCAGGGAACUCGGGCUAAUACCGGAGAUGAGCUCCUGCUGCAUGUGGGUGGUUGGAGAGUUUCGGCGUUGGUGUAUGGACUGGCAGCUUAUGAGCUUGUUGGUCGGGUAGGUGCUUACCAAGGCUUUGACGGGUAGGCGGCCUGAGAGCGUGGACGGCCACAAUAGGACUACGAUAGGGCGCAGAAUGCUAUGGGAGGCAGCGGUGGGGAACAUUGCAGAAUGGGCGGACGUGUGAUGCAGAAACGCUGCGUGCGGGAAGCCGGGUUUCGGGUUGUAAACAGAUUUGGCAUGUGACGAAGAGUGCGUGACGGUAAUGGGUCAAGAAGCAACGGCUAACUACGUG